This 338-nucleotide ribosomal RNA is filed under the name uncultured marine eukaryote. RNAcentral describes it as "SSU rRNA". It matches the Rfam family "Eukaryotic small subunit ribosomal RNA", at positions 612 to 954 of the family's 1831-position model. The record is from RNAcentral.
GUUGCGGUUAAAAAGCUCGUAGUUGGAUUUCUGCUGAGGACGACCGGUCCGCCCACUGGGUGAGCAUCUGGGACGACCUGGGCAUCCUUCCAGAGAAUGUGUCUGCUCUUAACUGAGUGGUGCAGUAUCUGGAACUUUUACUUUGAGGAAAUUAGAGUGUUUCAAGCAGGCAUACGCCUUGAAUACAUUAGCAUGGAAUAAUAGGAUAGGACCUCGGUUCUAUUUUGUUGGUUUCUAGAGCUGAGGUAAUGAUUAAUAGGGAUAGUUGGGGGCAUCCAUAUUUAACUGUCAGAGGUGAAAUUCUUGGAUUUGUUAAAGAUGAACUACUGCGAAAGCAU